This 785-nucleotide ribosomal RNA is filed under the name Bacillus sp. NTN143. RNAcentral's name for it is "bacterial SSU rRNA". It matches the Rfam family "Bacterial small subunit ribosomal RNA", at positions 48 to 818 of the family's 1533-position model. Lineage: Bacteria; Bacillati; Bacillota; Bacilli; Caryophanales; Bacillaceae. The record is from RNAcentral.
CCUAUACAUGCAGUCGAGCGGACAGAAGGGAGCUUGCUCCCGGAUGUUAGCGGCGGACGGGUGAGUAACACGUGGGUAACCUGCCUGUAAGACUGGGAUAACUCCGGGAAACCGGAGCUAAUACCGGAUAGUUCCUUGAACCGCAUGGUUCAAGGAUGAAAGACGGUUUCGGCUGUCACUUACAGAUGGACCCGCGGCGCAUUAGCUAGUUGGUGGGGUAAUGGCUCACCAAGGCGACGAUGCGUAGCCGACCUGAGAGGGUGAUCGGCCACACUGGGACUGAGACACGGCCCAGACUCCUACGGGAGGCAGCAGUAGGGAAUCUUCCGCAAUGGACGAAAGUCUGACGGAGCAACGCCGCGUGAGUGAUGAAGGUUUUCGGAUCGUAAAGCUCUGUUGUUAGGGAAGAACAAGUGCGAGAGUAACUGCUCGCACCUUGACGGUACCUAACCAGAAAGCCACGGCUAACUACGUGCCAGCAGCCGCGGUAAUACGUAGGUGGCAAGCGUUGUCCGGAAUUAUUGGGCGUAAAGGGCUCGCAGGCGGUUUCUUAAGUCUGAUGUGAAAGCCCCCGGCUCAACCGGGGAGGGUCAUUGGAAACUGGGAAACUUGAGUGCAGAAAGAGGAGAGUGGAAUUCCACUUGUAGCGGUAAAAUGCGUAGAGAUGUGGAGGAACUCCGUGGCAAAGGCUACUGUGUGGUCUGUAACGGACUCUGAUGAGGUAAGCCUGGGGAUUAACCUGAUUAGAUACACUUGGUAGACCACGGCGUCAACGACGAGUGCGG